This 468-nucleotide ribosomal RNA is filed under the name uncultured bacterium. Its description in RNAcentral is "partial 16S ribosomal RNA". It matches the Rfam family "Bacterial small subunit ribosomal RNA", at positions 28 to 507 of the family's 1533-position model. The record is from RNAcentral.
GACGAACGCUGGCGGCGUGCUUAACACAUGCAAGUCGAACGGAAAGGCCCUGCUUUUGUGGGGUGCUCGAGUGUCGAACGGGUGAGUAACACGUGAGUAACCUGCCCUUGACUUUGGGAUAACUUCAGGAAACUGGGGCUAAUACCGGAUAGGAGCUCCUGCUGCAUGGUGGGGGUUGGAAAGUUUCGGCGGUUGGGGAUGGACUCGCGGCUUAUCAGCUUGUUUGUGUGGUAGUGGCUUACCAAUGCUUUGACGGGUAGCCGUCCUGAGAGGGUGACCGGACACAUUGGGACGGAGAUAAGGCACAGACUCCUACGGGAGGCAGCAGUGGGGAAGAUUGCACAAUGGGCGGAAGCCUGAUGCAGCAACGCAGCGUGCGGGAUGACGGCAUUCGGGUUGUAAACCGAUUUCGCCUGUGACGAAGCGUGAGUGACGGUAAUGGGUAAAGAAGCACCGGCUAACUACGUG